UACGAAGGGGGCUAGCGUUGUUCGGAAUUACUGGGCGUAAAGCGCACGUCGGCGGAUCGAUCAGUCAGGGGUGAAAUCCCAGGGCUCAACCCUGGAACUGCCUUUGAUACUGUCGAUCUGGAGUAUGGAAGAGGUGAGUGGAAUUCCGAGUGUAGAGGUGAAAUUCGUAGAUAUUCGCAAGAACACCAGUGGCGAAGGCGGCUCACUGGCCCGAUACUGACGCUGAGGCACGAAAGCGUGGGGAGCAAACAGG
RNAcentral lists this ribosomal RNA (253 nucleotides) under uncultured bacterium. RNAcentral describes it as "partial 16S ribosomal RNA". It matches the Rfam family "Bacterial small subunit ribosomal RNA", at positions 524 to 776 of the family's 1533-position model. The record is from RNAcentral.